GACGAACGCUGGCGGCGUGCUUAAUACAUGCAAGUCGAGCGGUGAACCUGAAGAAGGCUUCGGCCUGAUUUGGGGGAACAGCGGCGGAUGGGUGAGUAACGCGUGGGUACCUGCCCUAAAGUCUGGGAUAACAACCCGAAAGGGUUGCUAAUACCGGAUGUGACCGAGAGGUUAAAGGUAGCGAUAUCGCUUUAGGAUGGGCCCGGUCCCAUUAGCUAGUUGGUAGGUAACGGCCUACCAAGGCAACGAUGGGUAGCCGGCCUGAGAGGGUGGACGGCCACACUGGGACUGAGACACGGCCCAGACUCCUACGGGAGGCAGCAGUAGGGAAUCUUCCGCAAUGGACGCAAGUCUGACGGAGCGACGCCGCGUGGGGGAAGAAGGGCCUUCGGGUUGGUAAACCUCUGUCCUCAGGGACGAAGAGGGUGUGGGAGACGCACCGAAGACGGUACCUGAGGAGGAAGCCCCGGCUAACUACGUGCCAGCAGCCGCGGUAAGGCUACGUAGA
RNAcentral lists this ribosomal RNA (508 nucleotides) under uncultured bacterium. RNAcentral's name for it is "bacterial SSU rRNA". It matches the Rfam family "Bacterial small subunit ribosomal RNA", at positions 28 to 531 of the family's 1533-position model. The record is from RNAcentral.